This 253-nucleotide ribosomal RNA is filed under the name uncultured bacterium. Its description in RNAcentral is "partial 16S ribosomal RNA". It matches the Rfam family "Bacterial small subunit ribosomal RNA", at positions 524 to 776 of the family's 1533-position model. The record is from RNAcentral.
UACGUAGGGUGCAAGCGUUAAUCGGAAUUACUGGGCGUAAAGCGUGCGCAGGCGGUUAUGUAAGACAGAUGUGAAAUGCCCGGGCUUAACCUGGGAACUGCAUUUGUGACUGCAUGGCUAGAGUUUGGCAGAGGGGGGUAGAAUUCCACGUGUAGCAGUGAAAUGCGUAGAUAUGUGGAAGAACACCGAUGGCGAAGGCAGCCCCCUGGGUCAAGACUGACGCUCAUGCACGAAAGCGUGGGGAGCAAACAGG